Molecule: long non-coding RNA, 275 nt
Organism: Mizuhopecten yessoensis (Yesso scallop)
Lineage: Eukaryota; Metazoa; Mollusca; Bivalvia; Pectinida; Pectinidae
Exons: 5
Source: RefSeq, a predicted model, not a curated record
GGUAAACAAACAUGUCUGCCCGAUGUUAGCCGUCGAGCUGUACGGCAGACAGAGGAUACAAUAGAGGAGUGAUGGCUUCCAAAACCAAAAGGACGGGGCCAGGGCUCAAACCUGCCGGCUUGAUCAGACAUGACUCCUCCUUUGAAUUUGAAAUUAAGGGAAAAUCUCACAGUGCUACCCCACGACCAAGAAAUGCCAAGUCAUCAAAGAAACCAACACAGGAUAAGUCCAAGACUGCAGCCAGGGCGAAUGCAGCAACUCAAUCUAUAUGUAAG